This 688-nucleotide ribosomal RNA is filed under the name Salmonella enterica subsp. enterica serovar Give. Its description in RNAcentral is "bacterial LSU rRNA". It matches the Rfam family "Bacterial large subunit ribosomal RNA", at positions 1 to 722 of the family's 2925-position model. The record is from RNAcentral. Lineage: Bacteria; Pseudomonadati; Pseudomonadota; Gammaproteobacteria; Enterobacterales; Enterobacteriaceae.
GGGUUGUGAGGUUAAGCGACUAAGCGUACACGGUGGAUGCCCUGGCAGUCAGAGGCGAUGAAGGGCGUGCUAAUCUGCGAUAAGCGCCGGUAAGGUGAUAUGAACCGUUAUAACCGGCGAUACCCGAAUGGGGAAACCCAGUGUGACUCGUCACACUAUCAUUAACUGAAUCCAUAGGUUAAUGAGGCGAACCGGGGGAACUGAAACAUCUAAGUACCCCGAGGAAAAGAAAUCAACCGAGAUUCCCCCAGUAGCGGCGAGCGAACGGGGAGGAGCCCAGAGCCUGAAUCAGCAUAUGUGUUAGUGGAAGCGUCUGGAAAGGCGCGCGAUACAGGGUGACAGCCCCGUACACAAAAGCGCAUGUGCUGUGAGCUCGAUGAGUAGGGCGGGACACGUGGUAUCCUGUCUGAAUAUGGGGGGACCAUCCUCCAAGGCUAAAUACUCCUGACUGACCGAUAGUGAACCAGUACCGUGAGGGAAAGGCGAAAAGAACCCCGGCGAGGGGAGUGAAAAAGAACCUGAAACCGUGUACGUACAAGCAGUGGGAGCACCCUUUGGGGUGUGACUGCGUACCUUUUGUAUAAUGGGUCAGCGACUUAUAUUCUGUAGCAAGGUUAACCGAAUAGGGGAGCCGGAGGGAAACCGAGUCUUAAUUGGGCGUUAAGUUGCAGGGUAUAGACCCGAAACC